GAAUAAAUUUGGCGGUUAUAUGCAAAGAACAAAAAUAAACAUGCAAUGCAGUUGAUUCAAUUGGUUUUGAGAAACUAUGGAUGAAUGGUGUUGUUGGGAUUUACAAUUUCAUCUUAUCCACUCUCAUAUAUCUACUCUUCUUAUUUACUUCACUUAUUUAUCUAAUUGCCAUGCAAACUUUCUAGUAUACCCUUAACCCAAUCCCUUGGUGAAAAGAGCCUAUUAUUAAUUACCGGCUUGCUAUCCCUAGCCUCCCCAAGUAACCAAUAAUGCAAUGCGUUCGGAAGCAAAUACAAUUGACCGUCCUACCCCUAUCCCUAGGCGAUAUUGGCAUCAUCAAGGAAUUUCCCACCAGUUCAUGACAUUAUCGUACAUCCCCAUAUCGACAAAGACAAACAUCUUUUACUAAAUGAGUUAAACAAUAAAAGCAUUGAGCACAGAUGAGAACCCAACAAUUGAUAAACAAGUAUAUGACAAGCAUAUGAAAUAAAUAAG
This 495-nucleotide long non-coding RNA is filed under the name Vigna radiata. Its description in RNAcentral is "long non-coding RNA (VRAD_LNC006873)". The record is from RNAcentral. Lineage: Eukaryota; Viridiplantae; Streptophyta; Magnoliopsida; Fabales; Fabaceae.